UGGGGAAUUUUGCACAAUGGGGGAAACCCUGAUGCAGCGACGCCGCGUGAGCGAAGAAGGCUUUCGAGUCGUAAAGCUCUGUCCUAUGAGAAGAUAAUGACGGUAUCAUAGGAGGAAGCCCUGGCUAAAUACGUGCCAGCAGCCGCGGUAAUACGUAUGGGGCGAGCGUUUUCCGGAAUUAUUGGGCGUAAAGGGUACGUAGGUGGUUUUUUAAGUCAGGUGUAAAAGCGUGGAGCUUAACUCCAUUAAGCACUUGAAACUGAAAGACUUGAGUGAAGGAGAGGAAAGUGGAAUGCCUAGUGUAGCGGUGAAAUGCGUAGAUAUUAGGAGGAAUACCGGUGGCGAAGGCGACUUUCUGGACUUUUACUGACGCUGAGGUACGAAAGCGUGGGGAGCAAACAGG
This 403-nucleotide ribosomal RNA is filed under the name Verrucomicrobiota bacterium. Its description in RNAcentral is "Verrucomicrobia bacterium partial 16S ribosomal RNA". It matches the Rfam family "Bacterial small subunit ribosomal RNA", at positions 355 to 776 of the family's 1533-position model. The record is from RNAcentral. Lineage: Bacteria; Pseudomonadati; Verrucomicrobiota.